GAACAUGAACCACCACCCCCAUCAUCUCCCUCAAGCCCUUCAAGACCGAAACCCUAAUCGAUGCCCCCAAAUUCCAUAGCCGACGAUGGCGGAGCCACCGCCAAACCUCAUCCCAGUAACACCCCAAACUAUCCUCCACAUACUCUACCUGAAUCCAUACCCCUUUUUCCUCGAAUCACAGCCAAAACCUUCGAAUCUUAGAUCAAAGAAACUUCGGCCAAAACAUCACCUCGCCCAAACACCACCAAAUUUACACCACAAGACCGCCUCCGUGUCCUUUAGCGAACCCCCUUAACCCCUUCACUCGAAUCCUGCCAGAAAUGUGCAAAUAUUAGUUUAAGUUUUUCCGGCCAAAACUCUAGUCACACAAACUCGCCCCAAAAUAAGACCAGAUGUCCCUUGGGCCCUGAUCAUGAAGAAUUCAAUGUUAUUAACACUCAAUUCCCACCGGAGAUGGGUGAAUUUGAAGCGUGAAAGUCAGCCUAAUUUCGAGCCAUGGCAGCUUUUUGUUUUCUUUUUUGUUUAAUUCUUUUAUUUUGCUUCUUUGAUCAUACUCGUUAAAUUCUAAUUUAAGAUGCAUCUUGAGUUUCUAUUGAUUUUGAUUUUAAUUUUGUGUCUGAUUUUUGUUUAAUUAGACUGCAAUUUGUCUAUUUCUUUAGUUUAGUUUGAUUAUUAGCAUGGCUUCAUUUGUUAUGAUUAAAACUUGUUUUGAUAAUUGUUUAAUUCUGAUGGAGAGGUUGUUAGUUAACUAAAGUUAGUUGUUAGAUAAUCAUAGUUAGGAUUUGGGUAGGGUUAGACUAAUUUACUAAUUUCAAAUGAUUUUAAGGGCAUUUCGGGUAACUAGUAAGAUACAUAGAUAUUGUAGAUUAUACCUGAAGUUCCUAAAACCUUCUAGAUAGGGCAAAAAUUAGAAUUUCAGAAAGAUAAGUGCACUUACUUGAAGCACAAGUCAGUAAACAAAGGGUGAAAAGUUAAAAACUGAAAUCAAAGGAGGGGUUGAAAUGAAAGAAAACAAAAAUCUGAGUUGCACUUCAUUUUUGCCUUUAAAAGGCAUCACAAAUGCCUCGAAAAACAAGUUUUUUAGCCAUCAAAAAUUCCUCGUAAAAGCUCUCUUUCCAAUUUUCAGAUCUGAACUGGAAAUUCAAAUAUUCAAAAAUCCAAAAACAUCAUAAAACAAAAAAAACAUUCUAUUGUUUCAUUGCCUAGUUAUAUCAUUUUAAAGUUUUCGUUGAUUUUCUUCAAAUUUUGUUCUAAGUUCGAGUUUCAACAGCAUUUAGAAGUAUUUCGUAAUAUGUUCGAGUGAAUAUGGGUUUGUUUAGGUUGGUUUUUGGUUAAGUACUAUUCCAGGGAAGUUUCAGAAGCAAUUUAAGUUCAUUUUCGAAGUUAUUUGAGUACAAUUUGAGUUAGUUGUGGUUUAGCGGAUUGGAAGCACUAAUUUCUGGUUUCAUUUUGGUCAAUUUCUGUGUUGUGUUUGGUCUGAUGUACAAGUCUCGUUUGGUUUUAAAUCAGUUCUGAAUCACUGAGCUAUUUCUAGGUUAAAACCGUGUUGCAUAUUGCUGCUGUGCUAACUUCUUCUUCUUCCUGUUGAAUUCUGAUUCUGAGGUACAUAUUUAUAAACUCACUUUGAUGUAAUUAUGAAUUGGAGUUGGAAUAGAGCUAUUCAUCAUAUCUAUGUGCUGAAGAUGAUUAUCUGCUGUUCUAGUAUGUAGUUAAUUAGUUGCUUGUUAAUUAGCUUUUUGUAUCCAUCUAUGUUAACCUGUGUUGGCAUUGCAUGCAAUGGAUAUAAGGUUGUAUAAUUAGGAUGAUUUUUAUUUGGUUUGUACUAUGGGCUGUUAAUUGGUGCUGAAGAUGAUUUUCUGUUGUUCUAGUAUGUAGUUAAUUAGUUGCUUGUUAAUUAGCUUUUUGUAUCCAUCUAUGUUAACCUGUAUUGGCAUUGCAUGCAAUGGAUGUAAGGCUGUAUAAUUAGGAUGAUUUUAAUUUGGUUUGUACUAUGGACUGUUAAUUUAAACUGUGGAUUGUGGAUUGUUAAUUACAUGCUACAGUAAAUGUAGUUCGUUUGUUUAGUUUAAGUGUUCAACAUUAGAAAGUAAUUUAGGUAGGAAACUAAGUGGGGAAUACAUACAUUUGUAACUGAGUGAGCGGACUGUUAAGUUCAAAGCAUGCAUAAGUUCAAUACAUGACAGCAAGUGUUAAAUGGAAAUUAGGAGUUAAUCAGGGAUUGUUUGGAUAACCUUCGUACAUGAAUGCUUCCUCAAUGAAUUGUAGUGAAUUGGAUUUUUUCAAUUCAUUCCAGUUUGUUUCUGUCAAAAAUAAGUAUUAACUUAAAACUCUACCAAAAACGUGCUUAAUUCCUUAGGUUAGCUGAAGUUAGUUUAUUUUUGAAAUUGGAAAGUGCAUGUUUAAAUACGAUAAUGUUGCAUCUCAUGCCUAACAAACGUUGGCUACAUUAAAUUCAUCCAUUAAGUUCAAUAUUUGAUGAUAGGAUUUGCUUGGGUUAUAUCUAAUUAGUAUACAAGUCAAAGUUGAAUUGAUGGUUGGGAAGUUGAUUGGAUUAUCUUCAGUUGUUACUCAAAUUAUGAAUUUAAUGAGGCCUAAGGCUGAUUGACCAUUCCUGAAGUAAAACGCUAGUCAUUUAUAUUGGGCUGGACUUGAGAACAGAUACAUUAAAGACCCUUACUCCUUUAAAUCACGAUUUAGCUUAGAUAUAGGCUUUGGGCCUGUUAAUUAGGUUUCUUUUAAGGAUAAUCUUUUAAUAGAUAAUCGUAGUCCCUUUCAAGGAUGCCUUUAAAAUAAUGAGAUGAGCCUCCCUAAAUAAAAGGCAAAAAUUUUGGGGCCCUCAAUAAAGGAUUGUAUUAAAAUAAUUAGAUUUUAGGAUGGGCCGUUUAGCAAAUUUCACGGUCUUCCCUAAAGAUAAUAAUGCACUAGUCUCUUUAGGCGCGCUUUUAAUAAUGUUACCUUCCUAAUUUCGGGUGCACAUUUAUAUGACCCAAAUUCAAAUCACAACAAAGUCGAAAUGUGUUAACAACCAAGGGUGUAUUUUCACAAUGUUGCAAUUCUUUUAAAAUAAUGAUAAAAGCGUUUCAAAGUUAAAAAGCACAUGAGUUAUAACAUGUAUUAAAAUCAUAUACUUAGCCAUUUGCAACAGUUUAAGCGACCUUGCUAUAACCAUGGGAUUCAGGGGUACCUAACACCUUCCCCCGGGGUCAACAAAAUUUCUUGCUUAGAAUUUCUGGUUCUCAGACUCCAACUGGGAAGUCGAGAAUAUUAAUCGGUUCGGGAUUCAAGAUAAACUAGUGACUUGGGACACCAAAAGCCAAACCUUUCCCAAGUGGUGACUCUAAAUAAAUAAAUGACCCCGAUCCAAAUAAUGGCACUUUAAAUGGAAAAACUCCGUUAUAUAUUAUCCUUCGGGGUAGUGUGUAAAAAGGAGGUGUGACAGAUUUGGCGACUCUGCUUGGGACAGGAAACCAGAACGUUUUAUUCAGGGUUCAAAAUUUGAGCUUAGAUAAAUUCCUGUAUUUGGUUAUAUAUGAUUUUCCUACAUGUUUCAUGAUUAAUAUGCUAAAUGUUUACCGCUUUGAUAGUAUCUGAAUUGUAUAAAAACAGUGCCGAAACAUUUCUCUUCUCAUCUCCGGGAAUGUGCUUACUGGUUGAGACUCCCUAUUCUUUUAGUGUCAUACGUUAAAAUAAGAAAGAGGCCGGACAAGUUACUAAGCGGGAUGGCCUUUUGGUUCCUGGUACGUUGCCCCCUCCUCGAUUCGAGUUGUCCGCUCGGGUACACAGUCUAGGACCUAUACCCAGGUUUUGAACAUAGAUUAACGUGACUUCAUGCCGGAUCCCUAGUAGGAACGCUUAUCUGCAUUAUGUUGUAUUUGAAUUAGGGGACUCAAGGGGUGGGUCCGUCUAAGACUAGCAACCAAAAUGAAAAAGACCAUCCUAAUGCAUCAUACUUGUUUUCCGUCCAUUUAUUUAUUUCGGGCCUGCUUGUUGACCGGCUUCUGAAUAUCGGGAAUAUUGUAAAAUUGAGAAUAAAAGAGAAAUAACAAUGUAGAGAGUUAAUUUCCUAUUUUUAGAAAAAAAAUCAAUGCCCAAAUACUGUCAAAACUCUACCGAAAUUUCAAAAAUGAAAAAGAAAAAUAUUUUAAUUUUAAAUAAUAUAUUUUACUCAAAAAGCAAAAAAUGAGAAAAUGAAAAGAGUCCUUAUCUUUAUUUUGUUUUGUUGUUUGUUGAAAAAGAAAAAAAGAGUCUUUAUUUUGUCUUGUUUUCAAAAGAAAAUAGGUUGUUUGUUGAAAAAAAAGAUCUGUAUUUUGUUGUUUGUUGAAAAAGAAAAAGAAGAGAGUCUUAUUUUCAAAAAUAGUUCGUUUUCUCUACCCGAACUAUGCCGGUUUGAUUCUCAGUGGAUCUGAGAUACGUAGGCAGCCCUCACUGGGUCCAACAUCCCCUUUGCAAAAAUAACUAAAAAUGUUAAAAUUUUUGAUUUCGUCAUGAAUAAGUCGGGUGACGUUAUUCUUGUAAAAAAUAAGCCGAAUGUCCCUAAAAGGGCGCCGGAAGGCCAUUUUUGCAAGAAUAGCCACCUUGGGUCAUUUUCAACGUUUAGCAGACAUAACCUUAAGAUCUUCUUUAUGAAGUGCUAAAAGGCUAUAUCCGCAAAAGUCAAAACCAGCUUUUUUUUGCUUCAAAUUGGAAUUUUGAACAAAAUAGUAUCACUUCUUUUCUUUUAUGUCAAAAAAAGUUAUUAAAUCACCUUAAUAAAUGUGCAGGAUGAGCACGAUUCAAAAUGAACCUUUCUCAAUAAUGACUAAAAUCCUUCUAGAGUUGCGUCUAUGGUGGGAUGAUCUGGGUAAAGAAGGGAAAGACGAGGUCAAGAAGUAUUUGAAAGGGCUUACUGGUUUGUUAGAGAUCGUGACUCGAGGAGACAUCAAUAAAGUAUUGGUCACAUGUUGGGACCCGACACACACAAUGUGUUCCAUUUUUCAGACUUUAUACUCACUUCGACAGUAGAGGAAAUAACCGGAUACAUCGGAAGUACUGAGAUUCCGUUAAGGCACAAAUACUUGAUUACCUCGAGAAUUGUUGACGUGCACCGGUAUUUAUACUUAGUGAAGAUACCCAGGACGGUCCAUAACCCGGAUUUGGCAAAAGGCUUUUGUACUCCGCGCUUCAUAUACGACAGAUAUGGUCAUAUCGUAGGGUUUAACAAUCCGGGUAACAAACUAUGCAGCAAAAGUAACCACCAUAGACGAGUGGCUUUUAUGAUAACCUUUUUGGGCCUCUUGGUGUUCCCAAUAAAAGACGGAAAUAUUUAUAUAAAAAUAGUUGGGGUCGUUAGUACUUUUCUCAGAUGAAACCACUGUUGCGCCUAUGAUAGUAUCUUAUAUCUUCCUAGCUCUCACAGCCUGCAGAGCCGGAGGAAACUUUUCCAAGGGUGUAACUUGUUGUUGCAGAUAGGGUCAGUUUACCUGAAGGGGUCAUGGCAUGGAACUCAUACUUUCGGACCCUCACUGCCAAUCAAAUAUAGUGGAUGCUAAGAUGGUUGCCUGUCAACGAAGUCAUAUAUAUGCCAGCAGUUAGGCCCCACUUACUCUUAAUGGGACUUAAGAGAAUUCAGCCUUAUGAUCCAUAUCUGGUUUUAAGGCAACUCGGGAGAUGUCAAGUGGUGCCAAAUGACGACGAUCUUAGUGUCCAAGUGGUCGAGAUUGGUCCAUAUGGCCAAUUUCCCGAAGCAAAGGUCCGUCAGAUCUGGAGUGAAUGUCAAUAUUUGGCAGCGAACACCUGUGUGUGGGACCAAUCUAGAGGAGAAGUUUCGUCUAAAUAUCAUGCUUGGUAUCGAGGGGAAAUUACAUUCGGAAGGCCAGCCAAAAGACCUCACCUACAGGACUUUGAUGAGUCAUCGCAGGAACAAUGGGGCUGGUUAGAAAAAGAAAGGGAAUAGAGGGCCCGCAUAGGAGCAUUGGAGAAAUAGGUACACGAUCUCCGGUUUGAAAACAGUUUACAAGCUGCAGCCGACGAAGGGGAUAAAAAGAAGUUGGCCUAAGAAAAUGAAACUCUCAAGGAUCAAAUCUGACAGAUGAGAAUGGACGCUGACAACCAACAGAGAAGUCGGUCUGAUAAAAAUUUGAAAAAUGGGUUGAAAAAGAAAAUUAUUGAGUGAGAAGGAUCUAGAAAAGACCGAGGGUACCAUAGCAAAUCUAUGGGCACAAUGGGCAAAGAAAACGGAGCGUGCACAGUUUUUACAGCAAAUAAAGAGGAAUUAUGAAAAGACCAUUGCCAAUUUGAGAAGGAAAGAGACUAACCUUGAGGACAAAGCAGCUAAACAAGCCUAAGCUUUUGAAACCGAAAGUGGACAUUGUUAAGAUUUACUGGCCCGAACGGAAGUAGAAAUACAGCAGCUGCAGAGUCAGCAUCUUUAGGAUUCUCAGGUGUUGAAGGCCCGUGAUGAUCAAAUAAGGCGCCUGCUCAUAGAAAAAGGUCGAACCAGGGUCAAGAUUGAGACCAUUUCCCACACCAUCAUUAGGAGAUGCCGAAUGUGUGAAGACAUGACCCGCACUACCUUCUUUUCGGCAGUAAUGAUUUUUGUCAAGCGGACAAUGUAUAAGUUGGAGCAACCUGAAAGGGAUCUUGCACCUAACCCGGCGGCGAGGCCGAGCGAUGCCCAGCGGGCACCCACUUUUGAAGCAUUAAUGUAUUCGUAGUUCGAGUCUGUAUUUUCUAUUUUUAGAGUCUGUUGUCUGUGUGUUUCCUUUUUGCAUCAGAGUAUGUCAGUAGUUUUUGAGUUUGUAUUUGGUUUUAUUUCGAGCAUGUUAUUUCCCUUUUCAAAAACAAAAUUUUUAGUUUGUAGUAGAAUGUUUUAGUUAAUGAAAAUUGAAAAUUCCCAAAAUUUGUUUCUUUAUUUUUGCGUUUGUUUGCACGAACUACGCUAGGUAUGAUUCAUAUGGGGUCAUGAUACGUAGGCAAUCCUCAUCGGAUUCGACCAUAACCUUGAAAGAAAAGAAAAAAAAAGGAAGGAAAAAGAAAAAGAAGUAGAAGAGCGGGAAGAAGAUGAAAGAAAAAUCAUCGCAAAAAGAAAGAAAGAAAGAAAGAAAAUGAGAAAAAUCAAAAGAAAGCCGGUAUGACGCAUGCAACUGCGGAAAACAUGUAGAAAUUCAUUUAACUAUGUAGGUGCAUUACACCUCAAUGUGCGAUUACCUAUAUGCUAUUUGUCUCAAACUAACCGUUUGCUACUAUUAGUCCAGUCAGGUUUAUAGAAACAGGUGGUUGGUUUUGUGGUAAACUGGCUUCGCACCACUAUUUUACCAGAUCCAAAGGUAGUACAGAGAUGUCUUCAGAAAUGAUCCAGCCAACAAUCCUUAUCUCAAAAGAUAGCCCACUCUCGAGCGCCCCAACCUCAGAGUCUGCAGCGGCCAAAUAAAAUAGAAUCUUACGUCCGAGGGUAAUGGAUAUGUGGGGUGCAUGCACAAACGCAAAAGAACCUCCGAGUUUCAUCCCUGGAUUUCCUGAGUUGUUCCCAAGAUCAACGGGUACCUCUAACAUUCCCAUCAGCCACCCGAACGUCCCGUUAGGACAGCCUACUAUAUCUGCUCAUUUUGUAGGAGCAUCUUCUUAAGUUUGGUUUGGCCCCAAGAAUUCGUACCCGAGAUAGCUUUUAACAUCUUCACCGCUCCACCAUCCCCUGCUACAACACAGCCCGCAAUCCCAAAACCGGUGUUUGAUCCAUCGGCAUUCACUUAUCAUACUCCUACUUACUAGCCAUACCCAUCUCAGUACUCCACAUAUGCUUAUCCUCAGCAACCACCAUGUGAGCUCACACCAGAAAAAGAUCAAACUUCCAAUGCUUUUGCACAAGACGAGAUGGAGAAAAAAUGAGGAGUCUUUAACAGAGUUUAAAGAAUAUGCAAGGGUUGAAUGGGAAAAAAAAGUGUUUCUUGUACAGAUCUGUGCAUGUUCCCUCAUAUGCACCUAGCCUCGGGGUACAAAACACCAAAAUUUGAAAAGUAUGAUGGGCACUGCGACCCCAUUGUUCAUUUAAAGAAGUAUUGCAAUCAGUUACAGGGGAGCCGGUGGCAUAGAAGAAUUGUAGAUGGCAUAUUUUGGGAAAAGUUUAAUCGGCAUUGCUUUAGAGUAGUAUAUGGAUCAAGACAUCUCACGUUGGCAUAUCUGGGAUGAUCUUGCCAGAGACUUUGUUCGACCGUUUCAAUACAACAUAGACACCGCGCCGGAUAGGAACUCUUUGGCAAAUUUAAAGAAGAAACCCUCAAAAAGCUUCAGAGGAUAUGCAGUUAAGUGGCGCGACAUGCAUUAAGAGUGAAACCUCAAAUGGAUGAGGUAGAGAUGGUCACUGUUUUCCUUCAAGCCCAAGAACUCGAUUACUUCCAAAAUAUGAUGUCGGUCAUGGGUAAGCCUUUUGCUGAGGCCAUCAAAAUUGGGGAAAUGGUAGAGAACGAUUUGAAAACGGGUAGGAUUUUAAGUUAGUCAGCCAUCCGAGCAACCUCCCAAGUCAUCCAAGGAGGGUCUGGAGGAAUGGCCAAAAAUAAAAAGAAAGAGGAAACAAUUAUGGCAGCAUCAGGAGAAAGAAGAUACCGGGCUCCUAGACCUAUGUUAUCUGAAAGAAACGCUCAAUACAACUAUCCUCAUUCUGACAUGACAUAUGUAACCCACCAUAUGCGAUCAUGAACGAUCAACCCUAUACCCGACCGCAACCACAGGCCAAAGGAAAUCAACCUCCAUUCCAAAUAAAUAAGCUUCCUCACCAGAACCACUAUAAUCUCUGUCCUCCACAGAAUAAUUUUCCUCCUUCUGAGCCACCCAAGAGACAAUCACACCUAUUGGUGAACCCUACUAUGAUCUAUUCCCAAAGCUUGUCCAAAUGGGCUUACUGCAGCCAGUCCUUCAAACAAGGCGAAAUCAAGCAUCGCCUGCUUACAGAGGCGGUGUGAGGUGUGCUUAUCACUCCGGGGCGGAUGGGCAUGAUACCAAUGAUUGUUUGACCUUGAAAGGGGCAGUGGAGAACAUGGGAAGAUAUUGGUAAGGGACGAGGAGGUCCCAAAUUUGACUAACAAUCUGUUGCCCGAUCAUAAUUUCGGGUCAGUGAUUGGAAUGAUUUGUGAAGACAGGGAGUUUGAUCCAGCUUUGAAAGCUAUAAUUGCUAUCGUUGAUGUGGAAAGGAAUCCUAAGGCAACCUCGAAGCAGGAGAAAGGAGAAAACAAGACUAAAACUGUCAAAACUGAACCCAAGAAGGAAGUUGAAACAAAAACAGUGAUGACGCCUCCUAAAAAUGGGGUUUUCUAUGUUUCGCGAGGUCGCCAAGAAAAGCCAUUAGUUGUGAGUACUCCAAAGAAAUUUUAAUUGAAAAGUAUGUGCCAAAAGGAGCCUAUGUGGUCCGGGGACGAUUAAAUUGCUUCGGCUGAAUAAGACAGUGGUUAUCAGACGCGUUCCAUAGAAGCCAAUGACGGACCAGUCUACGGUGCCAUGGAACUAUCAGAAGACGGUGGUUACAUACAAAGGUAAAUAAAUCAUGGAAGAACUUCCGAAAAAUACCUUUCCUCAGAAAUAUUCAUAUGUACAUGAGGUAAACAAAGCCACGCGAAAGCGCUUUCUACCUAAGAAGCCUGUGAGUGCUGAGGAAGCAGAGGUUUUCUUCCAGAAAAUAGAGAUGCAUGAUUAUAAAGUGGUUGAUCAGUUGCGUAAGUAUCUUGAACAGAUGUCUAUGUUGUCUUUGUUAAUGAGGUUUGCCGAGCAUCAGAAUAUCUUAAUAAAAACUCUGAAUAAGGCGUUUGUGCCAGCUGAGACUUCAGUCGAACAUUUCGAAAGAAUGGCACAAAGGUUCUUCGAUGUCAAUCAAAUCUCCUUUAGUAAAAAUAACUUGCCUCCAGAGGUAGCGGCUCAUAACAAAGCUUUACAGACUGUAAAGUGUGAAGGUUUUUAUGUCAACCGAGUAAUGGUGGAUGGGGGUUCAGAUGUUGUCAUUUGUCAACUCUCCACACUGCAGAGAAUGGAAAUCGAGAUUGGAAGGAUUCGUUCCAAUAACGUCUGUGUAAGAGCCUUUGAUGGCAUUAAAAGUGAUACCAUUAGAGAGAUUGAUCUGCUAUUAACCAUAGAACCGGUGGAUUUCGAGGUGACCUUCAAGGUGUUGGACAUAGAUAUAUCUUACAACUUUCUUCUAAGAAGGCCUUGGAUCCAUGUCGCAGGGCCUGUACCCUCCACCCUUCACCAAAUGGUAAAGUUCGAAUAUGAAGAUCAGGAAAUUGUGAUCCAUGAAAAGGACGAGCAGUCUAUUUAUCGGGACCCAUCUAUCCCAUGUUUGGAGGAUAGGGAGGGAAGCGAACAUAUUGUUUAUCAGGAUUUCGUAGUUGUAGUAGCGGAUCAGUCGAAGAGGGGAGUCCUUGCCCCCAACCCUUCCUGUCCAAUGCUUCGAUCAUGGUGGCAAAAGAAAUUAUUAGACAUGGUUUCAGACUAGUAAAAUGAUUGGGAAAAACUCUACAAGGAAUAUCGAAGCCAAUAACCCUACCCACAACAUAAAAGUUCUUCGGGAUAGGCUUUUAUCCUACCCCAGAAGAUGAAGAUUGGGUGGAUGAGAGAAAAAAGGAAGGAUGGGUCUAUCCACAGCCAUUGCCACAUCUCUAUCAGACCUUUGUCAGACCAAAAUACAAUGAGAAAGAAGAUGAUGUAGCCUUCACAGCCGAAGAAAUCGAAGAAAUAUGUGGGGAGAUGAGGAAAAUACUUUAUGAAACACACACGGUUCAGCUAAGAGAAGGCACAAACACCGCUGAGGUGCUAUACAUGGGACCAGAUACUAAACUUCAAAAUUGGAUACGCCGUUCCCAGUCAGGCGGGAGUCCGGGUAGACUUAUCCUGCCACUUUUUCUACAUCACGAGUUAUCCUAGGGUGUAACUCGGAUGUUUUCUUAGUUUCCUGUCUUUAAUUUCCUGAAUGUAAACCCCGUUAUCUUCGCAAUUCCAAGAAAUGAAAUCUAUAUUUCAUCGUUUAUUUUCUUUAUUCUUUCUGCUGUUUUUCUCUUUUAUUUUUUCUUUUUAGUUAUAAUAAUGCGGCUUUAAAUAACAUAGCAAGCUUGCGGACUUAAUGCCAGAUCCAAACACGUUGUCUAACUGUGAAAUAAUGAACCAAGAGCCGUAAUAUGAUGAAGAAGAGGCUUUUAGAGAAAUAAAUCGAGGAUUGGAAUAAUUUGAGAACAAACCUAAGCCAAACUUGAAUGAUACAGAACUGGUUAUUUUGGGAACUUCUGAAGGAAUCCGCGAAACCAAAAUAAGCAUUCACACAUAUGAGAAAACUCGAGAUGCAAUAAUCUAACUCUUGUUUGAGUUUAAAGACGUGUUUGCUUGGUCGUUUGAUGAUAUGCCAUGAUUGAGUGUUGAUCUAGUGGUGCACAAAUUGCUAAUUUACCCUUAUUGUCCUCCAGUUCAGAAGAAGCAGAGAAAUUUUAAGACUUAUAUCAGUGAUAAGAUCAAAGAAGAAAUCACAAAACAGUUGAAAGCAGGGAUAAUCUGGGUGGUCCGAUAUACUACGUGGUUGGCCAACAUAGUUCUCGUGCCAAAGAAAGAUGGGAAAACCCGGGUGUGUGUGGACUACCGAGAUUUGAAUGGGGAAAGUCCCAAAGACAAUUUCCCUUUUCCCAACAUCCACAUCCUUGCUGAUAACCGUGCCAAACACGAGAUACAGUUCUUCGUGGAUUGUUCCACAGGAUAUCACCAGGUAUUGAUGGAUGAAGAAGAUUCCGAGAAAACAGUUUUCACUAUACCCUGGGGCACCUAUUAUUAUCAGGUCAUGCCAUUUAGGCUGAAGAAUGCUGGGGCAACUUAUAUGAGAGCCGUGACUGCCAUUUUCCAUGAUAUGAUACAUCAGGAGAUAGAGGUGUAUGUGGACGACGUGAUCAUCAAGUCCAGAACUCAGGACUAUCAUGUUAAAAUUAAAAUUUCAGAAAGAUAAGUGCACUUACUUGAAACACAAGUCAGUAAACAAAGGGUGGAAAGUUAAAAACUGAAAACAAAAGAGGGAUUGAAAUGAAAGAAAACAAAAAUCUGAGUUGCACUUCAUUUUUGCCUAUAAAAGGCAUCACAAAUGCCUUGAAAAACAAGUUUUUAGCCAUCAAAAAUUCCUCAUAAAAGCACUCUUUCCAAUUUUCACUUUUCAAAUAUUCAAAAAUCCAAAAACAUCAGAAAAAAAAACAAAAAAAAAAACAUUCUAGUGUUUCAUUGCCUAGUUAGAUCAUUUCAAAGUUUUCCUUGAUUUUCUUCAAAUUUGUUCUAAGUUCGAGUUUCAACAGCAUUUAGGAGUAUUUGGUAAUAAGUUCGAGUGAAUAGGGGUUUGUUUAGGUUGGUUUCUGGUUAAGUACUAUUCCAGGGAAGUCUCAGAAGCAAUUUAAGUUCAUUUUUCAAACUUAUUUGAGUACAAUUUGAGUUAGUUGUGGCUUAGCUGAUUGGAAGCACUAAUUUCUGGUUUCAUUUUGGUCAAUUUCUGUGUUGUGUUUGGUCUGUUGUACGAGUCUCGUUUGAUUUUAAAUCAGUUUUGAAUCAUUGAGCUAUUUCUGGGUUAAAAUCGUGUUGCAUAUUGCUGCUGUGCUAACUUCUUCUUCUUCCUGUUGAAUUCUGAUUCUGAGGUACAUAUUUAUAAACUCACUUUGAUGUAAUUAUGAAUUGGAGUUGGAAUAGAGCUAUUCAUCAUAUCUAGGUGCUGAAGAUGAUUUUCUGCUGUUCUAGUAUGUAGUUAAUUAGUUGCUUGUUAAUUAGCUUUUUGUAUCCAUCUAUGUUAACC
Molecule: long non-coding RNA, 12766 nt
Filed under: Nicotiana benthamiana
Lineage: Eukaryota; Viridiplantae; Streptophyta; Magnoliopsida; Solanales; Solanaceae
Description: long non-coding RNA (NBEN_LNC020957)
Source: RNAcentral